RNAcentral lists this ribosomal RNA (512 nucleotides) under uncultured bacterium. RNAcentral describes it as "bacterial SSU rRNA". It matches the Rfam family "Bacterial small subunit ribosomal RNA", at positions 9 to 516 of the family's 1533-position model. The record is from RNAcentral.
GAGUUUGAUCCUGGCUCAGAUUGAACGCUGGCGGCAGGCCUAACACAUGCAAGUCGAGCGGUAGAGAGAAGCUUGCUUCUCUUGAGAGCGGCGGACGGGUGUGUAAUGCCUAGGAAUCUGCCUGGUAGUGGGGGAUAACGCUCGGAAACGGACGCUAAUACCGCAUACGUCCUACGGGAGAAAGCAGGGGACCUUCGGGCCUUGCGCUAUCAGAUGAGCCUAGGUCGGAUUAGCUAGUUGGUGAGGUAAUGGCUCACCAAGGCGACGAUCCGUAACUGGUCUGAGAGGAUGAUCAGUCACACUGGAACUGAGACACGGUCCAGACUCCUACGGGAGGCAGCAGUGGGGAAUAUUGGACAAUGGGCGAAAGCCUGAUCCAGCCAUGCCGCGUGUGUGAAGAAGGUCUUCGGAUUGUAAAGCACUUUAAGUUGGGAGGAAGGGCAGUAAAUUAAUACUUUGCUGUUUUGACGUUACCGACAGAAUAAGCACCGGCUAACUCUGUGCCAGCCGCC